RNAcentral lists this ribosomal RNA (253 nucleotides) under uncultured bacterium. Its description in RNAcentral is "partial 16S ribosomal RNA". It matches the Rfam family "Bacterial small subunit ribosomal RNA", at positions 524 to 776 of the family's 1533-position model. The record is from RNAcentral.
UACGGAGGAUGCAAGCGUUAUCCGGAAUGAUUGGGCGUAAAGCGUCCGCAGGUGGCUAUGUAAGUCUGCUGUUAAAGAGUGAGGCUCAACCUCAUAAGAGCAGUGGAAACUACAUGGCUAGAGUGCGUUCGGGGCAGAGGGAAUUCCUGGUGUAGCGGUGAAAUGCGUAGAUAUCGAGAGGAACACCUGCGGCGAAGGCGGGUUGCUGGGCUGAUACUGACGCUGAGGCGCGAAAGCCAGGGGAGCGAACGGG